CCCUUAGAUGUCCUGGGCCGCACGCGCGCUACACUGACGGAGCCAGCGAGCGUGUCCUUCGCCGAAAGGUGCGGGUAAUCUUGGCAGCCUCCGUCGUGCUGGGGAUAGAUGGUUGCAAUUAUUGAUCUUGAACGAGGAAUUCCUAGUAAGCGCGAGUCACCAGCUCGCGUCGAUUACGUCCCUGCCCUUUGUACACACCGCCCGUCGCUACUACCGAUUGGAUGGCUUAAUGAGAGCUCUGGAUCUCUGCCGGCGCGGUCCUCACGGGUCGCGUUGGAUGGGGAGAAGUUGCUCAAAUUGAGUCUUCUAGAGGAAGUAAAAGUCGUAACA
This 330-nucleotide ribosomal RNA is filed under the name uncultured eukaryote. RNAcentral's name for it is "partial 18S ribosomal RNA". It matches the Rfam family "Eukaryotic small subunit ribosomal RNA", at positions 1470 to 1796 of the family's 1831-position model. The record is from RNAcentral.